AGAGGAAGUAAAAGUCGUAACAAGGUUUCCGUAGGUGAACCUGCGGAAGGAUCAUUAUUGAAAUAAACCUGAUGGGUUGUUGCUGGCUCUCUAGGGAGCAUGUGCACACCUUGUCAUCUUUAUAUCUCCACCUGUGCACCUUUUGUAGACAUCUUUCCAGGUGUCUAUGUUGAUUCUUCAUUUACCCCAAUGUAUGUCAAUAGAAUGUUGUGUCCAUAAUAUAUACAACUUUCAGCAACGGAUCUCUUGGCUCUCGCAUCGAUGAAGAACGCAGCGAAAUGCGAUAAGUAAUGUGAAUUGCAGAAUUCAGUGAAUCAUCGAAUCUUUGAACGCACCUUGCGCUCCUUGGUAUUCCGAGGAGCAUGCCUGUUUGAGUGUCAUUAAUAUUAUAUAUCAAACCCUCUUUUGUUGAGUGGUUUGGAUGUGGGGUUGCUGGCCUCUUGAAGGGGUCAGCUUUCCUGAAAUGCAUUAGCAGAACAGCCUGUUCGUUCCAUUGGUGUGAUAACUAUCUACGCUAUUGAAUGAUGAAGGCAAGUUCAGCUUUCUAACCGUCUUUGGACAAUUUAUCAUCUAUAUGUGACCUCAAAUCAGGUAGGACUACCCGCUGAACUUAAGCAUAUCAAUAAGCGGAGGAAAAGAAACUAACAAGGAUU
This 653-nucleotide ribosomal RNA is filed under the name Cortinarius glandicolor. Its description in RNAcentral is "eukaryotic LSU rRNA". The stretch from base 227 to 380 matches the Rfam family "5.8S ribosomal RNA". The record is from RNAcentral. Lineage: Eukaryota; Fungi; Basidiomycota; Agaricomycetes; Agaricales; Cortinariaceae.